CUUGUAGGCGGUCCGUUAAGUCCGAUGUGAAAUCUCCCGGCUCAACUGGGAGAGGUCAUUGGAUACUGGCGGACUAGAGGGGGGUAGAGGAAAGCAGAAUUCCUGGUGUAGCGGUGAAAUGCGUAGAUAUCAGGAGGAAUACCAGUGGCGAAGGCGGCUUUCUGGGCCUACCCUGACGCUGAGGAGCGAAAGCGUGGGGAGCAAACCGGAUUAGAUACCCGGGUAGUCCACGCCCUAAACGGUGGAUGCUAGGUGUGGGGGGUGUCGACCCCCUCCGUGCCGCAGCUAACGCUUUAAGCAUCCCGCCUGGGGAGUACGGCCGCAAGGCUAAA
RNAcentral lists this ribosomal RNA (332 nucleotides) under uncultured Chloroflexota bacterium. RNAcentral's name for it is "bacterial SSU rRNA". It matches the Rfam family "Bacterial small subunit ribosomal RNA", at positions 568 to 898 of the family's 1533-position model. Lineage: Bacteria; Bacillati; Chloroflexota. The record is from RNAcentral.